UACGUAGGGUCCGAGCGUUAAUCGGAAUUACUGGGCGUAAAGCGUGCGCAGGCGGUUUUGUAAGCCAGAUGUGAAAGCCCCGGGCUUAACCUGGGAAUGGCAUUUGGGACUGCAAGGCUGGAGUACGGCAGAGGGAGGUGGAAUUCCAGGUGUAGCAGUGAAAUGCGUAGAUAUCAGGAGGAACACCAGUGGCGAAGGCGCCGCUCUGGGCCGUGACUGACGCUGAAGAGCGAAAGCGUGGGUAGCAAACAGG
RNAcentral lists this ribosomal RNA (253 nucleotides) under uncultured bacterium. RNAcentral describes it as "partial 16S ribosomal RNA". It matches the Rfam family "Bacterial small subunit ribosomal RNA", at positions 524 to 776 of the family's 1533-position model. The record is from RNAcentral.